Equus caballus (horse) is the source of this 47-nucleotide non-coding RNA. The record is from Rfam. Lineage: Eukaryota; Metazoa; Chordata; Mammalia; Perissodactyla; Equidae.
CUAAAGGCUUUCCUUAAAGCCACGAAGGAAAAAUGAUUGAAAAAUGU